AUUGAACGCUGGCGGCAUGCCUUACACAUGCAAGUCGAACGGUAACAGGUCUUCGGAUGCUGACGAGUGGCGAACGGGUGAGUAAUACAUCGGAACGUGCCUAGUAGUGGGGGAUAACUACUCGAAAGAGUGGCUAAUACCGCAUGAGAUCUACGGAUGGAAGCAGGGGAUCGCAAGACCUUGUGCUACUAGAGCGGCCGAUGGAAGAUUAGGUAGUUGGUGGGAUAAAAGCUUACCAAGCCGAUGAUCUGUAGGUGGUCUGAGAGGACGAUCAGCCACACUGGGACGGAGACACGGCCCAGACUCCUACGGGAGGCAGCAGUGGGGAAUUUUGGACAAUGGGCGAAAGCCUGAUCCAGCAAUGCCGCGUGCAGGAUGAAGGCCUUCGGGUUGUAAACUGCUUUUGUACGGAACGAAAAGCCCCGGGUUAAUACCCUGGGGUCAUGACGGUACCGUAAGAAUAAGCACCGGCUAACUACGUGCCAGCAGCCGCCGUAA
RNAcentral lists this ribosomal RNA (498 nucleotides) under uncultured bacterium. RNAcentral's name for it is "partial 16S ribosomal RNA". It matches the Rfam family "Bacterial small subunit ribosomal RNA", at positions 30 to 523 of the family's 1533-position model. The record is from RNAcentral.